UAGGGAAUCUUCCGCAAUGGGCGAAAGCUUGACGGAGCAACGCCGCGUGAGUGAUGAAGGUCUUCGGAUCGUAAAACUCUGUUAUUAGGGAAGAACAAAUGUGUAAGUAACUAUGCACGUCUUGACGGUACCUAAUCAGAAAGCCACGGCUAACUACGUGCCAGCAGCCGCGGUAAUACGUAGGUGGCAAGCGUUAUCCGGAAUUAUUGGGCGUAAAGCGCGCGUAGGCGGUUUUUUAAGUCUGAUGUGAAAGCCCACGGCUCAACCGAGGAGGGUCAUUGGAAACUGGAAAACUGGAGUGCAGAAGAGGAAAGUGGAAUUCCAUGUGUAGCGGUGAAAUGCGCAGAGAUAUGGAGGAACACCAGUGGCGAAGGCGACUUUCUGGUCUGUAACUGACGCUGAUGUGCGAAAGCGUGGGGAUCAAACAGG
RNAcentral lists this ribosomal RNA (429 nucleotides) under Actinomycetes bacterium. RNAcentral describes it as "Actinobacteria bacterium partial 16S ribosomal RNA". It matches the Rfam family "Bacterial small subunit ribosomal RNA", at positions 355 to 776 of the family's 1533-position model. The record is from RNAcentral. Lineage: Bacteria; Bacillati; Actinomycetota; Actinomycetes.